GCCAGUGUGGCACAGUAGUUUGAGUGUUGGACUACGACUCUGGAGGCCAGGGUUCAAUUCCUAGCUUGGCCA
This 72-nucleotide transfer RNA is filed under the name Phrynosoma platyrhinos (Desert horned lizard). RNAcentral's name for it is "tRNA-OTHER". The record is from RNAcentral. Lineage: Eukaryota; Metazoa; Chordata; Lepidosauria; Squamata; Phrynosomatidae.